CCUACGGGAGGCACCAGUGGGGAAUUUUGGACAAUGGGCGAAAGCCUGAUCCAGCAAUGCCGCGUGCAGGAUGAAGGCCCUCGGGUUGUAAACUGCUUUUGUACGGAACGAAAAGACUCUCUCUAAUAAAGAGGGUUGAUGACGGUACCGUAAGAAUAAGCACCGGCUAACUACGUGCCAGCAGCCGCGGUAAUACGUAGGGUGCGAGCGUUAAUCGGAAUUACUGGGCGUAAAGCGUGCGCAGGCGGUUAUGUAAGACAGAGGUUAAAUCCCCGGGCUCAACCUGGGAACGGCCUUUGUGACUGCAUGGCUAGAGUGCGGCAGAGGGGGAUGGAAUUCCGCGUGUAGCAGUGAAAUGCGUAGAUAUGCGGAGGAACACCGAUGGCGAAGGCGGCCCCCUGGACAAAGACUGACGCUCAGGUGCGAAAGCGUGGGGAGCAAACAGGAUUAGAUACCCCGGUAGUC
This 465-nucleotide ribosomal RNA is filed under the name uncultured bacterium. RNAcentral describes it as "bacterial SSU rRNA". It matches the Rfam family "Bacterial small subunit ribosomal RNA", at positions 338 to 795 of the family's 1533-position model. The record is from RNAcentral.